This 253-nucleotide ribosomal RNA is filed under the name uncultured bacterium. Its description in RNAcentral is "partial 16S ribosomal RNA". It matches the Rfam family "Bacterial small subunit ribosomal RNA", at positions 524 to 776 of the family's 1533-position model. The record is from RNAcentral.
UACGGGGGGGGCAAGCGUUGUUCGGAAUUACUGGGCGUAAAGGGCUCGUAGGCGGCCAACUAAGUCAGACGUGAAAUCCCUCGGCUUAACCGGGGAACUGCGUCUGAUACUGGAUGGCUUGAGGUUGGGAGAGGGAUGCGGAAUUCCAGGUGCAGCGGUGAAAUGCGUAGAUAUCUGGAGGAACACCGGUGGCGAAGGCGGCAUCCUGGACCAAUUCUGACGCUGAGGAGCGAAAGCCAGGGGAGCAAACGGG